RNAcentral lists this ribosomal RNA (559 nucleotides) under uncultured fungus. Its description in RNAcentral is "eukaryotic LSU rRNA". The stretch from base 173 to 326 matches the Rfam family "5.8S ribosomal RNA". The record is from RNAcentral. Lineage: Eukaryota; Fungi.
UCCGUUGGUGAACCAGCGGAGGGAUCAUUACCGAGUACUAUAACUCAUAACCCUUUGUGAACCUUCAUACCUGUUGCUUCGGCGGCGCGCCUCUCGGGGCGUGCCCGCCGGCAUUAUCAGAAUCUCUGUUCGAACCCGACGAUACUUCUGAGUGUUCUAAGCGAACUGUUAAAACUUUCAACAACGGAUCUCUUGGCUCCAGCAUCGAUGAAGAACGCAGCGAAACGCGAUAUGUAAUGUGAAUUGCAGAAUUCAGUGAAUCAUCGAAUCUUUGAACGCACAUGGCGCCUUCCAGUAUCCUGGGAGGCAUGCCUGUCCGAGCGUCGUUUCAACCCUCGAGCCCCCGUGGCCCGGCGUUGGGGACCUGCCCAGGCAGUCCCCGAAAACCAGUGGCGGACCCGACGGGCCCUUCCUUUGCGUAGCAACAUCUGCCUCGCAUCGGGAGCCCCCGGGCUAUCCGGCCUCUAAACCCCCCUCAAGCCCGCUCCGGCGGCACCAAGGUUGACCUCGGAUCAGGUAGGAAUACCCGCUGAACUUAAGCAUAUCAAUAAGCGGAGGA